UACGAAGGGUUCUAGCGUUGUUCGGAUUUACUGGGCGUAAAGGGCGCGUAGGCGGAUUUUUAAGUCGGGGGUGAAAUCCCGGAGCUCAACUCCGGAACUGCCUUCAAUUUUGAAAGUCUGGAGCACGGUAGAGGUUAGUGGAAUUCCGAGUGUAGAGGUGAAAUUCGUAGAUAUUCGGAGGAACACCAGUGGUAAAGGCGGCUCACUAGACCUUUGCUGAUGCUGAGGCGCGAAAGCGUGUGGAGCAAACAGG
RNAcentral lists this ribosomal RNA (253 nucleotides) under uncultured bacterium. Its description in RNAcentral is "partial 16S ribosomal RNA". It matches the Rfam family "Bacterial small subunit ribosomal RNA", at positions 524 to 776 of the family's 1533-position model. The record is from RNAcentral.